This 253-nucleotide ribosomal RNA is filed under the name uncultured bacterium. Its description in RNAcentral is "partial 16S ribosomal RNA". It matches the Rfam family "Bacterial small subunit ribosomal RNA", at positions 524 to 776 of the family's 1533-position model. The record is from RNAcentral.
UACGAAGGGGGCUAGCGUUGCUCGGAAUCACUGGGCGUAAAGCGCACGUAGGCGGAUUGCUAAGUCAGGGGUGAAAUCCUGGAGCUCAACUCCAGAACUGCCUUCGAUACUGGCGAUCUAGAGUCCGGGAGAGGUGAGUGGAACUGCGAGUGUAGAGGUGAAAUUCGUAGAUAUUCGCAAGAACACCAGUGGCGAAGGCGGCUCACUGGCCCGGUACUGACGCUGAGGUGCGAAAGCGUGGGGAGCAAACAGG